RNAcentral lists this ribosomal RNA (328 nucleotides) under uncultured organism. Its description in RNAcentral is "bacterial SSU rRNA". It matches the Rfam family "Bacterial small subunit ribosomal RNA", at positions 346 to 664 of the family's 1533-position model. The record is from RNAcentral.
GUGCACCAGGCGCGAAUCUUUCGCAAUGGGGGAAACCCUGACGAAGCGACGCCGCGUGCAGGAUGAAGGCCUUCGGGUUGUAAACUGCGUGUCGGCUGGGAAAAAAUACGAUGCGUGAAUAACGCAGCGUUUUGAUGGUACCAGCAAAGGAAGCCACGGCUAACUCUGUGCCAGCAGCCGCGGUAAUACAGAGGUGGCAAGCGUUGUUCGGAUUUACUGGGCGUAAAGGGUUCGUAGGCGGUUCGGAAAGUCAAAUGUGAAAUCCCAACAGCUCAACUGUGGAACUGCAUUUGAAACUCCCGGGCUAGAGUAUGAGAGGGGUAAAAGG